ACCUAGUCUGCUGUAAAACUCCAUGAAGAAGAAGAAGAAGCUAAGCAGAAGUUUAGGUUUUCCUCCUUGUUUUGGAGGGGAAAUGGCUUCCUCUUUUUCUAAAGUCUUAAGAGAGCCAGAGAUAUGUUUUGGCCUUCACACUCAUCUCCAUGCUACUCUGUUUAAACUUUUAACAACAGUGCACAAAAAGCAAAGCUUCAUAUCUGGACUGACAGACUGCUCUGCUACUUCUUUACUGAAAUGUACUUUAAGGAAACUAAGUAGACUGUGGCUGGCGCAGUAUGUAUGAUUUUGGCACAAUUGGCGGCAAUCAUUCCCACCCGGUGGAAAAUACUGAUGGAUGCAGGUCGACCUCUCGGGCUCCCUGGCGCUCUCUCACACAGAGACAGAACAGGGAGAGGAAGAAGAGUGGAGCCUUGUCUUGUGUAGUAAUAUAUCUCUGCAAGGUUUUAAAUCACUGUGGUUGGCUUUGAUUCAGUUGUAAAGAUAAAGUUAAG
This is a long non-coding RNA of Perca fluviatilis (European perch), 497 nucleotides long. RefSeq lists it as uncharacterized. The transcript is spliced from 3 exons. NCBI's taxonomy places the organism in Eukaryota, Metazoa, Chordata, Actinopteri, Perciformes, Percidae. The record is from RefSeq and is a predicted model, not a curated record.